RNAcentral lists this ribosomal RNA (803 nucleotides) under uncultured bacterium. RNAcentral's name for it is "bacterial SSU rRNA". It matches the Rfam family "Bacterial small subunit ribosomal RNA", at positions 545 to 1352 of the family's 1533-position model. The record is from RNAcentral.
CCGGAUUUAUUGGGUUUAAAGGGUGCGUAGGCGGCCUUGUAAGUCAGCGGUGAAAUUUUGCAGCUUAACUGUGAAAGUGCCGUUGAUACUGUGAGGCUAGGAUUUGGUUGCUGUGGGUGGAAUGUGUGGUGUAGCGGUGAAAUGCUUAGAGAUCACACAGAAUAUCGAUUGCGAAGGCAGCUCACAAAGCCAAGAUUGACGCUGAGGCACGAAAGUGUGGGGAUCAAACAGGAUUAGAUACCCUGGUAGUCCACACUGUAAACGAUGAUAACUCGCUGUCGGCGAUAUACAGUCGGUGGCCAAGCGAAAGCGAUAAGUUAUCCACCUGGGGAGUACGACCGCAAGGUUGAAACUCAAAGGAAUUGACGGGGGCCCGCACAAGCGGAGGAACAUGUGGUUUAAUUCGAUGAUACGCGAGGAACCUUACCCGGGCUCGAACGGUGCAGGAAUAUGGUAGAGAUAUCAUAGCUAGCAAUAGUCUGUAUCGAGGUGCUGCAUGGUUGUCGUCAGCUCGUGCCGUGAGGUGUCGGCUUAAGUGCCAUAACGAGCGCAACCCUUGUCAUUAGUUACCAUCAGGUCAAGCUGGGGACUCUAAUGAGACUGCCACCGUAAGGUGAGAGGAAGGGGGGGAUGACGUCAAAUCAGCACGGCCCUUAUGUCCGGGGCGACACACGUGUUACAAUGGGGGGUACAGAGGGCAGCCAUCCGGCGACGGAGCGCCAAUCUCAAAAACCCUUCUCAGUUCGGAUUGGAGUCUGCAACCCGACUCCAUGAAGUUGGAUUCGCUAGUAAUCGCGCAUCAG